GACGUAGGGUGCGAGCGUUGUCCGGAUUUAUUGGGCGUAAAGCGCUCGUAGGCGGCUCGUCGCGUCGACCGUGAAAACCCGCGGCUUAACUGCGGGCUUGCGGUUGAUACGGGCGGGCUAGAGUUCGGUAGGGGAGACUGGAAUUCCUGGUGUAGCGGUGAAAUGCGCAGAUAUCAGGAGGAACACCGGUGGCGAAGGCGGGUCUCUGGGCCGAUACUGACGCUGAGGAGCGAAAGCGUGGGGAGCGAACAGG
Molecule: ribosomal RNA, 253 nt
Filed under: uncultured bacterium
Lineage: Bacteria
Description: partial 16S ribosomal RNA
Rfam family: Bacterial small subunit ribosomal RNA
Source: RNAcentral